UAAAUUUGUUGGAAACAACAUCCGGAGAGACCUAUCUUCACUUUAACAUUUAUUAAUUUAAUAACCAAUGUGCAGUAUUCAUAUUUAUAUGCAAAUACAUGUGACAUUAGUCCAACAUGCAGAUAACAGAGGCUGCUGCAUCCAUGUAUCUUAAGCCAUUCCAAUCCACUGCUGUUAUACAAUUUGUUGAUCCACUGUGUUUUCCUUUUAGGGAAGACAGUGAAGAACUUCAACAGUCAAUUCUGCUCCACAUUAAACUGGUCAGUUUCUGGCCAUCUCUCUCAGAAUUUGUUGCAUUGGAGAAAACCUCUCUUCGCAGCCUCCUGUUUUAGCAGAUGCAGAUGCAAACACAGUUGUUCUGUUCUUCAGGGAUUCUUCUUGCUUUUCUGUUCUGCCUUAAGCUCUUUGGCAUUACAUCUGGACCCCAACGCUGUUAACAUUUCAACUGUUGUCAGGUUGGCUCCUUUCAUUAUCAAUCGCUCUCCAUCAGCAAACAUAACAUCUACAAGUGGUUCCGAUCCGUCGUGUCUCACAUCUGCAGACACUUCACAGUUCCUGUUAGUGGCUUGGAUUCUUUUAUGGUUUAUACAUUGAAGAAAUUUUCUGGUGCUCUCCACGUUGGACUCGAAAGGGCAGAAGCGGACUACGAUACUCUUCACGGGCCGCAGCACCACACGGAUCCGGGACGCCAUCUUCUUUCCGCCCCAGCACUACGAGUCCCG
RNAcentral lists this long non-coding RNA (722 nucleotides) under Gallus gallus (chicken). The record is from RNAcentral. Lineage: Eukaryota; Metazoa; Chordata; Aves; Galliformes; Phasianidae.